AGAGUUUGAUCAUGGCUCAGAACGAACGCUGGCGGCGCGCUUAACACAUGCAAGUCGUACGGACGGGUUUCGGCUCGUCAGUGGCGCACGGGUGAGUAACGCGUGGGAACCUGCCCUUUGGUUCGGGAUAACGGCGGGAAACUGCCGCUAAGACCGGAUGAGCCCUAUGGGGGAAAGACUUGUCGCCAAGGGAUGGGCCCGCGUCCGAUUAGCUUGUUGGUGGGGUAACGGCCUACCAAGGCUGCGAUCGGUAGCCGGUCUGAGAGGAUGAUCGGCCACACUGGGACUGAGACACGGCCCAGACUCCUACGGGAGGCAGCAGUGGGGAAUCUUGGACAAUGGGCGCAAGCCUGAUCCAGCGACGCCGCGUGGGUGAUGAAGGCCUUCGGGUUGUAAAGCCCUUUUCCCGGGGACGAUGAUGACGGUACCCGGGGAAUAAGCACCGGCUAACUCCGUGCCAGCCGCCGCGGUAAUAC
Molecule: ribosomal RNA, 476 nt
Filed under: uncultured bacterium
Lineage: Bacteria
Description: bacterial SSU rRNA
Rfam family: Bacterial small subunit ribosomal RNA
Source: RNAcentral